Long non-coding RNA from Chelonia mydas (Green sea turtle), 1223 nucleotides. RefSeq lists it as uncharacterized. The transcript has 3 exons. NCBI's taxonomy places the organism in Eukaryota, Metazoa, Chordata, Testudines, Cheloniidae. The record is from RefSeq and is a predicted model, not a curated record.
GGCAAGCAGAUCUAUUAUGGGAAUUCCCCACUGGCUGAAUACCAGCUCCAAGCUGGACCCUGGCAGUGACUGGGGACAGACUGUCUUCUUAGGAAGUCCGCUAGAAGUUGCUGACUCUUGUGCUUGAGAGCCAGGAAGCUGGGACUGCAUGGCUCCCUUUGGGUGUGUAAGUCUCCCUCCCAUGCCCAGUCCAGGUGGACUCGCUGCAGGGACCUCCCGGCGUGAAGCAGGACAGUGGAAGACUCUGAGGUUCAGCCUCAGAAGGUGGUGAAGACCAGGGACAUACCCAGAGAGAAAGUGUGACCCUUUGGGGGCUGACACACUGAGGGGUCCUCCAAGAGACUGUUCCAGAGCCAGGCCUGUGGAUCUGCGACAACUGUAGAUGUCUGUCAAGAUCUGCACUGUGGAAAUCCAUAGAACAGGCUUUGUUCUUCUGACAAGGCCCCAGUGGCACUGAGGAGCAGCUGUCUCUGUGUGAUGCCAGAGCAGACCAGCCUGGGGUAUCCUGCCUGGGCCAUACUGCAGCCUCAGCACUCUCCUGGAGGGUGAACUGGGCCAGGGGCCUGGGAGACUGAUUUUCCAUGGUGGUUAUUGAGAGGGGUCCUUGGGGACGAAGAUGGAAACCAAAUGCUAUGUCCUGGAUUUGGGGGACUCCCUCAUGAUGGUUCAACUUGCCUGGCCUGGGACCAGCACUAGCACCAGGAUGGGAGGAGGAAAGGGAAGUGAAGGCAAGAGGUGGGGUGGGCAAAAGGGCAGGGGCUCUCCAUGGGACAUGCCUAGCACCUUGCUUGGCCCCAUUUUCAAAUGCCAAUUGGCAGUUCAGGGAAGCAGAGAGAAAAAUGUCCCUGCCUCCCCUGCACUCUCAUGCUGCCAGUGCCGAUGCCCUAUGCUAUGGAAUCAUCCUGACGCCUCCCCUUCUUAGAGGACAUCGGGUCGUUGGUGUGACUGUCACCAAGGUUUCAGCUCAUCGAGUCUGAUGAGCCUCAGCUGACUGGUCAGAUUCCCAGCCAGGGUGCUGCACUGGGCUACACUGCUGUAACCCUGGUUUAGACCCUGCCCAGGGUGGCACCUGCACUUGGCACUGCACACCCAGACAGCGGGCAGUGCAAUGCACUGUACGGGUUGGCAUGCAGCACAAAGGAGCACAGUGACUGGUGGAACCCAUUCCAAUGCAGACACCUGGAGAACGUGUCCAAUAUGUUGGAAGAGGUGCCCAUGGUGAU